This 1384-nucleotide long non-coding RNA is filed under the name Aquila chrysaetos chrysaetos. Its description in RNAcentral is "lncRNA (ENSACCG00020006271.1)". The record is from RNAcentral. Lineage: Eukaryota; Metazoa; Chordata; Aves; Accipitriformes; Accipitridae.
CAGCUCAGUACCGGCACGGCCUGGCCCUGUGUCAGGAGGCGGCUGAGGUCCGAGACGCGGCUUUCCCCGAGGCAGACCCCUUUCAGGUGGCUGCAGCCCUUUUCCAGACGAAGCUGAUGAGCUUCUACAGGCAGGUGGAGCGGCGGCAGGCUGAGCGGGAGCUGCUGCGGGAGCUCAGCCGGUUCUCCAGCAAGAUCACGGGGCUGAAGCUGGACUGCAGGCAGUGCUCAGCCCGGGUGAAGCGCGGGGAGGGCCAGGCGCUGCAGUGCCUGCAGAGCUCCUUCCAGAAGCUGUCGGUGGAGUUCGCCCUGGAGAAGCUGCAGGAGAUGAAGGCUCAGGUGCUGACCCACUGUGUCCCGCCACUGUGCUCCACCGGACUGCCUCAGCCUCCGGCACGCACGGUCCGCCUGCAGAGAAUCGGGCAGAAGUCACCCAGUACUUCCAGGUUUCCAGCCAGAGCAGUUUCUCUUCUGAAGACUCAGACUCGCAGAACUCCACUGAAGAAGCCCCAGCAGCGAGCCUGGCUGUGCCCCGGGACCUCCAGAAUCCCAGACCACCUUGCCCCUCUGAAAAGCCCUCCCAGAUUGUUUACCUGGAGAACCAUCACACCGAGAGUCCAGCUAAAGCAAAUGCCAAGUAAAACCAGUCCCUUCUAGUAGGGCCUGUUUCUGUCCAGUUGUGGAAGUCUCGGACACCAACUGGAUGUCCCAUGCUCAGAGGUGGGAUACUGGGACACAUUGUCCAACCCUCGGUCCUAGGAUCCUUCAGUUCCCCAUACUUAGCACUCACCCCGCUGUGGAACAGCAAUAACCCCAUCACCAGCCUCACGAGGUCUGUUAAUAAUCUACUAGGUGUGUUGCAAUCCUCACCUAAAGUGCAUUUAUCCCUACAAGUGCCAGGUUUGCCUCAGGACAGCGGUGAGGGUUCCCUGCAGUCAGCAGCCGUGCUCAGAGCAUCCCACAGGAGCACAAACCUGUGCCGAGGUGUUUCUGCCCACCGGCCCCGCCGCGCUCCCCUCCUCUGCCGGGCGGUUUUACCGUUCCCCAUGCUGCUGCUGCAGCCCUAGCCAAGCGACAAUGACAGGCAUUUUGUGUGCGCUCGUUAAUGUAGGACUAAUGUUAUUAAUGUUAAUAAACCUGAAGAGAAGCGCCCAGCUUGGUCCUCGUGGAGCAGAACGAAAAGCCGUGUCCUGCCCAGAGCCAGGCGCCGGGCUGCUCGCCCAGGCUCCCCGCCGCUGCCCCAGCCCAGUGCCAACGGGCAGCCGGUGCCACCGCGAGAGCCUCCCGUGCUGCCCGUGCGGGCUGUGGCCGCAGCCUGGCUCUCCUGCCCACCGCCAGCAUCUCGCUGCCGGUAGGAGGGUCCUGCUCAAACCGCUGCUGGCUCG